RNAcentral lists this ribosomal RNA (519 nucleotides) under uncultured bacterium. RNAcentral describes it as "bacterial SSU rRNA". It matches the Rfam family "Bacterial small subunit ribosomal RNA", at positions 88 to 641 of the family's 1533-position model. The record is from RNAcentral.
AUUUAGAGUGGCGCACGGGUGAGUAACGCGUGGGAAACUGCCCUUCUGAGUGGGAUAACGUUUGGAAACGAACGCUAAUACCACAUACGCCCUACGGGGGAAAGGUCCGCCGCAGAAGGAGGUGCCCGCGUCCGAUUAGCUUGUUGGUGAGGUAAUGGCUCACCAAGGCGACGAUCGGUAGCUGGUCUGAGAGGAUGAUCAGCCACACUGGGACUGAGACACGGCCCAGACUCCUACGGGAGGCAGCAGUGGGGAAUAUUGGACAAUGGGGGCAACCCUGAUCCAGCAAUGCCGCGUGUGUGAUGAAGGCCCUAGGGUUGUAAAGCACUUUCACUGGUGAAGAUGAUGACGGUAGCCAGAGAAGAAGCCCCGGCUAACUUCGUGCCAGCAGCCGCGGUAAUACGAAGGGGGCGAGCGUUAUUCGGAAUUACUGGGCGUAAAGGGAGCGCAGGCGGUUCAUUUAGUCAGACGUGAAAGCCCCCGGGCUCAACCCGGGAGGUGCGUUUGAUACUGGUGAGC